AGCCGUGCCGGCGGUCUACACAUGCAAGUCGAGCGAGCUCUUCGGAGCUAGCGGCGGACGGGUUAGUAACGCGUGGGAACGUGCCCUUCACUGCGGAAUAGCCACUGGAAACGGUGAGUAAUACCGCAUACGCCCUUCGGGGGAAAGAUUUAUCGGUGAAGGAUCGGCCCGCGUUAGAUUAGAUAGUUGGUGGGGUAACGGCCUACCAAGUCUACGAUCUAUAGCUGGUUUUAGAGGAUGAUCAGCAACACUGGGACUGAGACACGGCCCAGACUCCUACGGGAGGCAGCAGUGGGGAAUCUUGGACAAUGGGCGCAAGCCUGAUCCAGCCAUGCCGCGUGAGUGAUGAAGGCCUUAGGGUCGUAAAGCUCUUUCGCCAGAGAUGAUAAUGACAGUAUCUGGUAAAGAAACCCCGGCUAACUCCGUGCCAGCAGCCGCGGUAAUACGGAGGGGGUUAGCGUUGUUCGGAAUUACUGGGCGUAAAGCGCACGUAGGCGGAUCAGAAAGUUGGGGGUGAAAUCCCGGGGCUCAACCCCGGAACUGCCUCCAAAACUCCUGGUCUUGAGUUCGAGAGAGGUGAGUGGAAUUCCGAGUGUAGAGGUGAAAUUCGUAGAUAUUCGGAGGAACACCAGUGGCGAAGGCGGCUCACUGGCUCGAUACUGACGCUGAGGUGCGAAAGUGUGGGGAGCAAACAGGAUUAGAUACCCUGG
Molecule: ribosomal RNA, 710 nt
Filed under: Marinovum sp.
Lineage: Bacteria; Pseudomonadati; Pseudomonadota; Alphaproteobacteria; Rhodobacterales; Roseobacteraceae
Description: bacterial SSU rRNA
Rfam family: Bacterial small subunit ribosomal RNA
Source: RNAcentral